GAGUUUGAUCCUGGCUCAGGACGAACGCUGGCGGCGCGCCUAACACAUGCAAGUCGAACGGAAUCAAGAGGAGCUUGCUUUUCUUGAUUUAGUGGCGAACGGGUGAGUAACGCGUGAGUAACCUGCCCUGGAGUGGGGGACAACAGUUGGAAACGACUGCUAAUACCGCAUAAGCCCACGGUGCCGCAUGGCACUGCGGGAAAAGGAUUUAUUCGCUUCAGGAUGGACUCGCGUCCAAUUAGCUAGUUGGUGAGGUAACGGCCCACCAAGGCGACGAUUGGUAGCCGGACUGAGAGGUUGAACGGCCACAUUGGGACUGAGACACGGCCCAGACUCCUACGGGAGGCAGCAGUGGGGGAUAUUGCACAAUGGGGGAAACCCUGAUGCAGCGACGCCGCGUGGAGGAAGAAGGUUUUCGGAUUGUAAACUCCUGUCGUUAGGGACGAUAAUGACGGUACCUAACAAGAAAGCACCGGCUAACUACGUGCCAGCAGCCGCGGUAAUUC
RNAcentral lists this ribosomal RNA (506 nucleotides) under uncultured bacterium. RNAcentral's name for it is "bacterial SSU rRNA". It matches the Rfam family "Bacterial small subunit ribosomal RNA", at positions 9 to 526 of the family's 1533-position model. The record is from RNAcentral.